Molecule: long non-coding RNA, 7185 nt
Organism: Oncorhynchus tshawytscha (Chinook salmon)
Lineage: Eukaryota; Metazoa; Chordata; Actinopteri; Salmoniformes; Salmonidae
Source: Ensembl
CAUAGGGCCUGGUCAAACGAAGUGCACUAAAUAUAGGGAAUAGGAUGCCAUUUCAAAUGCAAACCAGUAUUUUUAAAUAAGUAUUUAUGGUUUUCGUUUUGUUGUCUUUUGUUUUGAACUGUGAGUAAUUUGUAUACAGUGUAUUUGGGAAAAUAUUCAGACCCCUUCACUUUUUACAGUUUGUUACGUUACAUUCAUUCUUAUUCUAAAAUGUAUUCCAUUGUUUUUUCCCCCUCCAUCAAUUUACACACAAUACCCCAUAAUGACAUCACAAUACCCCAUAAUGACAUCACAAUAACCCAUAAUGACAAAGAAAAAACAGGUUUUUCGAAAUGUUUGCAAAAAUAUUAUUUAAAUUUUUUUUAAAUACCAAAAUAUUUCAUUUACAUAAGUAUUCAGACCCUUUACUCAGUACUUUGUUGAAGCACCUUUUUUAUUUUUUUUAUUUUUUUAACCUUUAUUUAACUACACAAGUCAGUUAAGAAUAAAUUCUUAUUUUCAAUGACAGCCUAGGAACAGUGGGUUAACUGCCUGUUCAGGGGCAGAACGACAGAUUUGUACCUUGUCAGCUCGGGGGUUUGAACUUGCAACCUUCCAACGCUCUAACCACUAGGCUACCCUGCCGCCCCAGUGAUUACAGCCUCGAGUCUUCUUGGUUAUGACACUACAAGCUUGGCACACCUGUAUUUGGGGAGUUUCUCCCAUUCUUCUCAGCAGAUCCUCUCAAGCUCUGUCAGGCUGGAUGGGGAUCGUUGCGGCACAGCUAUUUUCAGGUCUCUCCAGAGGUGUUCUCUCGGGUUUAAGUCCAAGUUCUGGCUGGGCCACUCAAGGACAUUCAGAGACUUGUCCCCUAAGCCACUCCUGCGUUGUCUUGGCUGUGUGCUUAGGGUCAUUGUCCCAUUGGAAGGUGAACCUUCGCCCCAGUCUGAGGUCCUGAUCGCUCUGGAGCAGGUUUUCAUCAAGGAUCUCUGCCUCUGAAAAACGACCAACAGCAUGAUGCUGCCACCACCAUGCUUCACCGUAGGGAUGGUGCCAGGUUUUCUCCAGAUGUGAAGCUUGGCAUUCAGGCCAAAGAGUUCAAUCUUGGUUACAUCAGACCAUAGAAUCUUAUUUUUCAUGGUCUGCGUCCUUUAGGUGCCUUUUGAAAAACUCCAAGCGGGCUGUUAUGUGCCUUUUACUGAGGAGUGGCUUCUGUCUGGCCAUUCUACCAUAAAGGCCUGAUUGGUGGAGUGCUGCAGAGAAAGUUGUCCUUCUGGAAGGUUCUCCCAUCUCCACAGAGAAACUCUGGAGCUCUGUCGGAGCGACCAUCGGGUUCUUGGUCACCUCCCUGACCAAGGCCCUUCUCCCCUGAUUUCUCAGUUUGGCCGGGCAGCCAGCUCUAGGAAGAGUCUUGGUGGUUCCAAACUUCUUCCAUUUAAGAAUGAUGGGAGGCCACUGUGUUCUUGGGGACCUUGGAUGCGCAGACAUUUUUUGGUAUGCUUCCCCAGAUCCUGUGCCUCGACACAAUCCUGUAUCGGAGCUCUACAGAAAAUUCCUUAUACCUAAUGGCUUGGUUUUUGCUCUGACUCGCACUUUGAACUGUGGGACCUUAUAUAGACAGGUGUGUGCCUUUCCAAAACAUGUCCAAUCAAUUGAAUUUACCACAGGUUGGACUCCAAUCAAGUUGUAGAAACAUCUCAAGGAUGAUCAAUGGAAACAGGAUGCACCUGAGCUCAAUUCCGAGUCUCAUAGCAAAGGGUCUUAAUACUUAUGUAAAUAACAUAUUUCUGUUUUUUUUAUUUUAUAAAUUUGCACAAAAAAAACAACCCUGUUUCCACUUUGUCAUUAUAAGGUAUUGUGUGUAGAUUGAUGAGAACAUUUUUUUAUUUAAUCCAUUUUAGAAUAAGGCUGUAAUGUAAUGUGGAAAAGGUCAAGGGGUCUGACUACUUUCCGAAUGCUCUGUAUAUCUGUUUAUUUAUUACUGUUUGUUGGGGAAAAAACUUCUGGACUCUUGGCCAUUUGUCCAGUGAAAAGUGCCAGCCUAAUCCUUCCUACUGACAUGCUGCUUUAUAGCACUGUUAGCCUAACCUCUCCUACUGACAUGCUGCUUUAUAGCACUGUUAGCCUAACCCUCUCCUACUAACAUGCUGCUUUAUAGCACUGUUAGCCUAACCCUCUCCUACUAACAUGCUGCUUUAUAGCACUGUUAGCCUAACCCUCUCCUACUAACAUGCUGCUUUAUAGCACUGUUAGCCUAACCCUCUCCUACUGACACACUGCUUUAUAGCACUGUUAGCCUAACCCUCUCCUACUGACAUGCUGCUUUAUAGCACUGUUAGCCUAACCCUCUCCUACUGACACACUGCUUUAUAGCACUGUUAGCCUAACCCUCUCCUACUGACAUGCUGCUUUAUAGCACUGUUUUUUGUUGUUACCGGAUUCACAGUACCACUUAAUUUCACCUUCCAAUGAGAUCAAAAAUGAGUGCAUUUCAAGUAUUAGAUGGUAUUUUAAAGCAGUCCCGUGAGACAAUGGGCUGCAUCUGAAAAUGAAUGGAUGCAUAUUUUGCCUACAUAGUACACUGCUUUUGUUCCAGGGCCCGCCUUUUGGCCAGGGCCCGCCUUUUGGCCAGGGCCCGCCUUUUGGCCAGGACCCGCGUAGGCAUUUCAGUGGCAGACUUGUUGAAAGGGAUAAGAUUUCUCAAGGUUUGAUGAAUACCACAAAGUUAAACCUUAUCUUACAUUUUAAUUGUCUACUCAUUCAACAAUGCAAUAUGUUCUGAAAUCACCUAAUACAUCACUUAAUACACUCUGACACACACAAUCACACGUAUCACACACUAUCACACAAUCAAAAAUGAACUUCACCAAAAAAUGUUUUCUGUGAGAUGUUGUAUCCUGUUUUAGAAGAGUGUGUUUCAAAAGUGAAUCCAAACCGAAAAAUACAAUAUUGGACAUAUUAGGCAACUUAAUGACAUGCGCAUUACAUUGCCUUGCCAUAUCCAAACACUAAAUGGGUAGCAACCAUCCGGGAGCUACCAGGUGCUGAAUUUAAGACAUUAUCUUUAUCAUACAUUAUCAUUAUACCAAAUCAAUUGUACUGGUUCAUAUCUGAACAGCGUUAUCCCACAGUGAAAUCUUAAAUCUCAAAGCCUAUGCUACUUGUACCGUUCAAUAUGUGGAAAUGGGAGGAAGAUUAGAUGAUUUGCUAGUGCUGGUAGUCUAUCUGGGGAAGAAACAAUAUGUCACUCCUAGGAAGGGAAGCAACAACAAACUUGACUGCCUUAUUUCUUAUUGAUAAGUCCAAGGCCUUACACCAUCUUUACAGACAGACUGUAUAUAAUAGUAUAGUAGUACAUAGAAUCUGCACAUUCUAGAAGCGAUUCUAGAACCAAACAGAUUCUGGAUCUAGAACCAGAGCUUCACUGUUCAUAUCAAGGCAGCUGUUUAAACUCUGAUCAUGUUUUCAAUACUAUUUCUUAUGGUUCCUUUGUUUAUUUGCAGGGUCACUUAAUGCAUCCAUACUGUAUAAAACAACCCACAUUGAGUGUGCCCUUACUCAGUAUCAGUUGUAGAUGGACAGUAGUGUCGGAACAGGCAGACACACCUUUUAGUGGCCAUGGUGUGUUUCUCACAGGCUUGAAAAAAAUAUUGUCAACGUCCCAAAUAUCACCUUAUUCCCUUUAUAGUGCACUACUUUUGAUCAGGGCCCUGGUCCAAAAGUAGUGCACUACAUAGGGAAUAGGGUGCCAUUUAGCUAUGGGCCAUGGUCUAAAGUAGUGCACUACAUAGGGAAUAGGGUGCCAUUUGGGACGCAUGGUUAUAUAAAUGGUAUGGCGAUGGCUAAAUAUGUCAUUGAAGGCAACAGAGGCUGCGAAGAUAGUUGCAUAGAUUUGGUUUCUGGAGUUUGAUGAUGUCAACUUAAGAUCUAGAUACAAAACGAAUCGUGAUUGUCUUUCCCGGAGAUCCGGCCUUAUUUCCAUACCAAAGAAAAGCAGUUGUUUAAAAAUAACCGAAUUUUACGUUAGAAGUUGUAAUAUCGUAGGAGGUUGUUAUACAUGGGAUUUGUAAUCAUCCAUGCACUCCUAGAGACUUAUGUUAUCAGUGAAAAGAAACAGAUAUAACUUGUUGUACGUCCUUAAUGGCACUCUAUAUAGUGCACUUGAUUUUGACCAGGACACAUAGGACCUUGGUCUAAAGUAGUGCACUAUUUAGAGAAUAGGGUGCCAUUUGGAACACACUGUAUAAGUUUUGUUUCAUUUUGGAGGAGAGAAAAGAAAAGAGGAGAAGCUUCGAAAAUCCAUGUACAGCAUGUUGCUAAGGAAACACUGGGCCAGACAGCAUGUAAACGUAUAUGAAAUGGUGGAGGUCCUUGUUGUAACGUAUAUGAAAUGGCGAAGGUCCUUGUUGUUGCUUAGGAAACACUGGGCCAGAGAGCAUGUAAACGUAUAUGAAAUGGUGGAGGUCCUUGUUGUAACGUAUAUGAAAUGGCAAAGGUCCUUGUUGUUGCUUAGGAAACACUGGGCCAGACAGCAUGUAAACGUAUAUGAAAUGGCGGAGGUCCUUGUUGUUGCUAAGGAAACACUGGGCCAGACAGCAUGUAACGUAUAUGAAAUGGCGGAGGUCCUUGUUGUUUGCUUAGGCAAAACUGGGCCAGACAGCAUGUUGUUGAAACCAUCACUGCUAGCCAGCCAGCUAUGUGAUUAUAAUAGGAUGAUUUGCUUGAAUUUUGGCUAUUGUUAUUGUGGUAAAAGUCAUAGUCAAAAUUAAAGCUCCAUUAACUUGUAAAUAGGGUAGAUACAUAGAAAUGUAAGGCAUCAAGAAGAAAAAAAAGACUACUAUAUUAUGGCCAUCAUUCUAGCUAAGUAAGUCUAUGUGCCAUAUAAAGGAGAAGAAAAAAAGCUAAAUGUAUAUUAGUCAAGAUAAUAGAGACUGUGUGUUGUGUGUUGCAUUUCCGGCUCCUCAAUGUAUUUGUAAAAAGUAAUGCUGUCUGUUUGGUCUCUGGUUUGCUGAUGUGUUUUGACUUUCCUUUCAAAGGUAAUUAUUAUAAUAAUAAUGAUAAUAAUAGGUCUCUGAUGUGUGCUCUGAGCGAGAACAAUAGCAUGGUUUAUUGAUAAGAAGAAAAAAAAAAACAAGAGUUAUAUGAUAUAUAUAUAUAUAUAUAUAUAUAGCUGGUUGCAAACAUUUCUGCAACAUCAUCGAUUCUAUAGACAUUGUGUUCAUGUUUUCAACAAACAAACUUUGUAGGUUCACUUUUUAUUGCACUAAAUUUCUAUGCUAUGAAACAUGGCUUUGUCACAAACCUUAUAACGGACACAUGUCACGAGGGAAUGACGAAAUGAAGGCCCGCAACAACAACAACAACAACAAACACAACAAAAAAAAAAAUAUUUUUUAUGAUCUAAGAAAGAAUUGUCAUGUAGAAAAUGACUACUGUAAUUGUCAUGUAGCAAAAAAAACAAAAAAAAAGUGCAUUAAUAAUGAUCUCAGUGAGAUUUACUCAUUCUCAUCCACGAGAAUAUAAUCUAAGCGUUAAGGAAAAAUUAAAUGUUUAAAAUGAAUUUUUUUUUUUUAAAUGUUUAAAAACCUACAUGUUUCAUUAUGUUAAAAAAUGACUGUAGUACGUAGGCGUGCACGUGUUCAUGAUUUCUAUCCUACUACUUUGAAUUGUUAGGUGCCUCCAAAAUGGCACCCUAUUCCCUAUAUAGUACACUACUUUUUACCUGGUCAGAACUGUAGUAGUGCACUAUAUAGGGAAUAGGGUGCCUUUUCGAACGCACACUUAUUAAGGUAACCACUGUCUGCUGUGGUAAGGGCUGGCUCUGUGUACCUGACUGGUAGUGCUACUGUAAUACCUGACUGGCAGUGUUACUGUAGUACCUGACUGGCAGUGUUACUGUAGUACCUGACUGACAGUGUUACUGUAAUACCUGACUGGCAGUGUUACUGUAGUACCUGACUGACAGUGUUACUGUAGUACCUGACUGGCAGUGUUACUGUAGUACCUGACUGACAGUGUUACUGUAGUACCUGACUGGCAGUGUUACUGUAGUACCUGACUGACAGUGUUACUGUAGUACCUGACUGGCAGUGUUACUGUAGUACCUGACUGGCAGUGUUACUGUAGUACCUGACUGGCAGUUUUACUGUAGUACCUGACUGGCAGUGUUACUGUAGUACCUGACUGGCAGUGUUACUGUAAUACCUGACUGGCAGUGUUACUGUAAUACCUGACUGGCAGUGUUACUGUAGUACCUGACUGACAGUGUUACUGUAAUACCUGACUGACAGUGUUACUGUAAUACCUGACUGACAGUGUUACUGUAGUACCUGACUGGCAGUGUUACUGUAGUACCUGACUGGCAGUGUUACUGUAAUACCUGACUGGCAGUGUUACUGUAGUACCUGACUGGCAGUGUUACUGUAGUACCUGACUGGCAGUGUUACUGUAGUACCUGACUGGCAGUGUUACUGUAGUACCUGACUAACAGUGUUACUGUAAUACCUGACUGACAGUGUUACUGUAGUACCUGACUGGCAGUGUUACUGUAGUACCUGACUGGCAGUGUUACUGUAGUACCUGACUGGCAGUGUUACUGUAGUAUCUGACUGGCAGUGUUACUGUAGUUAACUUAAUUACAGUAAGUUACAUUAUUUUACAUUGUGGGCUGUUUACUUAAUAUAAGUUAAUAUUGUUCUGUUUGUAUGGAGCUGUUUCGUUAAUGAUGGAUUUAUGUUUUUAUUUUUACAUACUUUUUUUAAUGUAGCAUUUGUAAAGAAAUAUGUUGUUAAAAAAAAAAAUCAAGAUUUUUGGCAUUAUUACUAUAAGGCACUGAUAUUUGAAUUAAAUCUUUGAAUGAGGGAAAAUGCACCUCCAUCUUUAGAUGUACACGAGUUCCAACUAUAGAAUUAGAAUGAGUUCUAAUGAUUCUAUGGUUCCAUCAAGCAGUGACUCUACUCUGUACGUUGUGAGUUCUGACUGACCCUGAGCCAGUACCAACUCAGUUUGACUAUCCUGUUCAUUCCUACCAGUAGAAGAAGCUCCCUCCCUCUGUUGUUGUCUGGUGUAAUGUGUCAUAUGUACAGUAGCUUGUUAAUAUGGCAAAACAAAACAUUCAUGUUUCUUUUUUUUUUCAAUGGAAAGUACUCACUGGUGAGAUUUUUAAAGUGGUUUUAAAAGCCAAUAAACUUCUUUUUUUUUAAAGAA